GAUGAACGCUGGCGGCGUGCCUAAUACAUGCAAGUCGAGCGCAGGAAGCCGUCCGAACCCUUCGGGGGGACGACGGUGGAAUGAGCGGCGGACGGGUGAGUAACACGUAAAGAACCUGCCCAUAGGUCUGGGAUAACCACGAGAAAUCGGGGCUAAUACCGGAUGUGUCAUCGGACCGCAUGGUCCGCUGAUGAAAGGCGCUCCGGCGUCGCCCAUGGAUGGCUUUGCGGUGCAUUAGCUAGUUGGUGGGGUAACGGCCCACCAAGGCGACGAUGCAUAGCCGACCUGAGAGGGUGAUCGGCCACACUGGGACUGAGACACGGCCCAGACUCCUACGGGAGGCAGCAGUAGGGAAUCUUCCACAAUGGACGAAAGUCUGAUGGAGCAACGCCGCGUGAACGAUGAAGGCUUUCGGGUCGUAAAGUUCUGUUGUAAGGGAAGAACAAGUGCCGCAGGCAAUGGCGGCACCUUGACGGUACCUUGCGAGAAAGCCACGGCUAACUACGUGCCAGCCGCCGCCGUAA
Molecule: ribosomal RNA, 524 nt
Filed under: uncultured bacterium
Lineage: Bacteria
Description: partial 16S ribosomal RNA
Rfam family: Bacterial small subunit ribosomal RNA
Source: RNAcentral